UAUAAAUAACCGUACGAAUUUUCUUCUAGCUUCCAAUAAUGGCGGAUACCAGAAACCAAGUACCGGACCCGCCUUCGUUGGCCAACAAUACCCACGGCCUUACCAGAACCCGAACCUUCGCAAUGGAAAGUAAAUAAAUCAAGUUCCUGCUGUUCCUGAUUUCCCGCUGGUUUAUUGAACUUGUAUACUUACCUACUUAUAUGACAACACAUUAACAAGGAUUAUUAAAUAAAUAUCUUGAAACUUAAUCAA
Long non-coding RNA from Ostrinia furnacalis (Asian corn borer), 252 nucleotides. RefSeq lists it as uncharacterized. NCBI's taxonomy places the organism in Eukaryota, Metazoa, Arthropoda, Insecta, Lepidoptera, Crambidae. The record is from RefSeq and is a predicted model, not a curated record. The transcript has 3 exons.